RNAcentral lists this ribosomal RNA (460 nucleotides) under uncultured bacterium. Its description in RNAcentral is "partial 16S ribosomal RNA". It matches the Rfam family "Bacterial small subunit ribosomal RNA", at positions 338 to 795 of the family's 1533-position model. The record is from RNAcentral.
CCUACGGGAGGCAGCAGUGAGGAAUAUUGGUCAAUGGACGCAAGUCUGAACUAGCCAUGCCGCGUGAAGGAAGACGGCUCUAUGAGUUGUAAACUGCUUUUGUACGAGGGUAAACGCAGAUACGCGUAUCUGUCUGAAAGUAUCGUACGAAUAAGGAUCGGCUAACUCCGUGCCAGCAGCCGCGGUAAUACGGAGGAUUCAAGCGUUAUCCGGAUUUAUUGGGUUUAAAGGGUGCGUAGGCGGGUGGAUAAGUCAGUGGUGAAAUCCCGAGGCUCAACUUCGGAAUUGCCAUUGAUACUGUCCGGCUAGAGAGCAGUUGCGGUAGGCGGAAUGUAUGGUGUAGCGGUGAAAUGCUUAGAGAUCAUACAGAACACCGAUUGCGAAGGCAGCUUACCAAGCUACUUCUGACGUUGAUGCACGAAAGCGUGGGUAGCAAACAGGAUUAGAUACCCCAGUAGUC